This 3967-nucleotide long non-coding RNA is filed under the name Panax ginseng (ginseng). RNAcentral's name for it is "long non-coding RNA (PGIN_LNC016506)". The record is from RNAcentral. Lineage: Eukaryota; Viridiplantae; Streptophyta; Magnoliopsida; Apiales; Araliaceae.
GCCGACCAAAGAUAGAGGAGAUUUGGGUUAUGACUUCAAGCUUCAUAACAUACUUUGGUAGAAGAAGAAGUGCAUCUAAGAGAAGGUUUAAAAGUUUCUUUAUCUCAAACCCUAGUUAGAUUUAUGUGAUUCCUUAUGGUUGUUUUGAAAAUAAAUGAUGAGUUUAUAUUUUUAAGCCAUAUGAUAGUAGUUCUAUAUGUUAGAGGAUGUUUUAUGGUUAGACAUAUUCAUUUUAUGUGUUGAUAAGCUUUGAUGAUUAACAAGAACAAAAACUGUUUUUGAACAAAAAUCCUAGAAAUUUCAGUCCACUUUGGACAACCACCAUUUUUGAUCCAUAACUUAUUUUUGAGAUCCAUCAAAGUUGUGAGUUAGAUCUAUGAGUUAUCUAAAGAACCACAUUAGAAUCACUGAAAAAUACUAAACGAACCGACCGUAACGCGAUUUCUACCAAAAUAGUUUUUCACCGAAAAACCUAAAAACCCUACUGUCCAUAUUUUUCGUGGACUGUUUAGGCCAAUUAGAGAGCUUGAAAAAUUCUGUACUUUUAGUAUAUGUUAAUAUAUGAAAGUUAUCUAUCUACUUUCCAAAAAUGAGCAUUUUUUGACUUCGUGAGACGGAGUUAUAGUCUGUCAAAGAUUUUGCAAUUUUUAAAAGAAACUGUUAUAACCCUAGAUCUAUAGCUCAGAAAAUUAUGCAAUAAUUAUUUGGGUCAGUGUUUGAUGAUAUGAGGCUACUGUAUAAAUUUUGGAAUUUUUUUAAUAAAAGGAUAACUUUUGAUAAAUGUUGUAGUUUCGAGUAGAAAUGGCCUAUUUAAAAAUAGGAAAUAAGCUUGAAAAAUUAUAAAAAAUUAUUUUGUGACUAAAAUAUAAUAUAUUAACGUAUUCCAGAAGAUAUAAAAAUAACAAUUUAAGUAGGUAUUUUUAAUGCCUAUGAAUGAGUUAAGAAUAACAAAGGAAAUUAAGUUAUAUUAAGUCAUAAAUUUGUUAAUGUGAUUUUAUUGACUAAUGAUCAACAAGCUGAUGUAUUAAGACUAUAUAAGGGUAAGUUGGUCAUUUUAAUAAAAUGUUAUAAGAAUGGCAUGUUAUGUUUGUUAAAUGAAUUAAAUAAGAAGAGAUAAAUGUUGGUUUUUAAUCUUUUGUGAUUUUAAUGAUGACAAUAUUAUCAGGUUUAUAUUUAUUGGAUUUUAUUUAAAUUGUUUGGACUGAUUUAAUUUAUUAUAUGUUGAUCUCUUGAUUGGUCUAUAUUUGAUUAACAGUUCAUUAGUUGAUGUACUCAAAGGAAUUUAUAUUGCUGAAGAGGUUUCCUUAAUAUAUAUUUUGUUUAGAGUCAAAUUAAGAUAUGUUAUAUUAUUUGAUUAUGAGUCUAUUAAGGAAUCCAUCAUGGAUAUGCAAUUUGUUGGGUAUUUCAAAUCAGACUCUCUCUCCUUGUUUUAAGUUUUUCAGUCUAUUUUGGAAACUAUAUUCUUGAAUAAGCUGUUGUGAUAUCCGUUGGUUAAAAAUAAAGUGCUAGUAUCAUGUGAUUUUCCAAUUAAACUAAAUAUUUAUUCUAACAGCUCUUUUUAUAGUCGUUGUUCCUAUUAUUAUAUAUACUUCUCCUUUAUGGCAAAGCAAAAAAUACAAAGAAGCAUAUAUCAGUUAAGGACACUUGAAGCUAAUAUCAGUCUUUAUACAGAGAAAAUUUCAUUGAGAGCUUUCAAAGUCUAUUUCCAGCAAUCUAUUGUAUUAAUUCCUUUUGGACUAGAAAAACAUAGUUCAUUGUAAUCAUAUUCCCUUGUAUUAAAAUAUGAGUUCAAGCUUUGUUUGACUUGAUUGAUCUAGUAGUGGAAAGGGUUUGUUCAAAUAGAGCUUUCAAGGUUGUAGAGGUGCAAAGGUCUCAAUAGUGAGAAAGGUUGCAGAAGUGCAAAAGGGCAGUGGUGUCCAUCAGUGUGAAGCAAAUUUGAACAGGGAGUUAUUUUUAUUGUAUUUAAUUGAGUAUUAAUUUUAAUAAAAAGAGUCUCCAAUACCGAUUGGUAUUGGACGUGAAUUAAGCCACUAGAUUAGAGGAUAGGGACAGAACCACGUAAAAAUCUUGGUGUGAAUUUCUAUUUUGUUCUUCUCUAUUAUGUUUUCUUAUUUUUGGAUAUUUUGCUUUGCUCACGUUUGAAGAUAUACUAAUCCAGACACUAAAGCGGACAGACAUAUUUGUCUGAUAGUAAUUGAUGAAGAACAUAAGCUAAAGCAGACACACAUAACUGUCUGAAUUAAACCUGUUGCAGAAAGAAUCAAAAAGAUUUCAUAAUUUAUUACUUUUAUCGUAAACAUCUAUUCAAACCCCGCCCCCUAGGUGUGCUUAUACACAGAAUUAUAAUAAACAAUUAAAUUAAAUUAUUUAUAAAUUUAUAAAAUAAAUAAAAUAUUAUUAAAUGAUUAAUAAUAUUAGUAAAUGAUUAAAAUAUUAUUAAAUGAUUAAUAAUAUUAGUAAGUGAAUGAAAUAUUCUUAAAUGAUUAAUAAUAUUAGUAAGUGAAUAAAAUAUUAUUAAAUGAUUAAUAAUUUUAGUAAGUGAUUAAAAUAUUAUUAAAUGAUUAAUAAUAUUAAGAAAUGGAUAAAAUAUUAUUAAAUUAUUAAUAAUAUUAGACGAGAGUUUAAGAUGAUUAUUAAGUGGUUGAAAAAUUAUUUAAGGAUGUUAAUAUUACUAAUGGUUUAAUGUAUUAUCUAAUAUUUACUUAUGUGAUUAAAUGUUAGAUAAUUUGUUAUAGAGUAGUAGUACUAUGAAUCAAAAUGUGUUAUACUAAUUGAAAGAUUAAUCUUAUUAAUGAUAGGUAUUCUUAUGAUUGUUUCACGAUGUUUGAAGUUCUAAAUUGUUCAAUGUUGAGUAAAUCCUAAAAUUUAUACAAAUCUUUUAUAUUUGUACAAGUGCUUAAGCUAUCUUUAAAAUUCAAUUAUGCCUUAAAUGUUUAAGUACUACGUCAAUAUCACUUGUUUCGGCUAGACUAAUAUUAAAUUGUUAAAGUAUGAAACGUUCUAUUAUUUGUGAAGUGAUUUGUUAUCGAAGAUCUAUGCCACUUGUUUCGGCUAGACUAAUAUUAAAAUUUUAAAGCAUGAAACAUUAUCUUAUUUAUGAACAGAUUUGUUAUUGAAGAUUUAUGCCACUUGUUUUGACUAGACUAAUAUUAAAUUAUUAAAGCAUGAAACAUUCUAUUAUUUGUGAACUGAUUUGUUAUUGAAGAUUUAUGCCACUUAUUUCGGCUAGAUCAAUACUGAUAUAAUAUGUUGAAAUCAUGGCAUUUCUUCGAAACAAAUUUAAACCAUAUUGUUAUGGUACGGACUCAUAAUGUAAGACUGAAAUGAACAAUCCUUAUAAAUGGGGAACUUUAUUGUCGAACAUCUGACCUCGUGCGCUAUGUUUGAGUAUUAUGCCUAAUAUAGGGCACAAUGAGGCUGAUCACCUCACGUACUAGCAGAAGAGUAUAAUUAGUCUUUAUGACUAAUUUAUACUAUUGAGAUAUUUAGUUUUAUUAACUUAUAUUUCCUCUAGAAGUUCACGAUCCAUAGCGAUCACUCAGCAUGAAAUUUGGGAAUAACCCUCUCUAUUGAAUGUUAUUGUAGUAAUGUUAAUUUUUCACAAUCAUUAUAUAUUGUUGAAAAUUCAGAAGCUAAUUCUUUUCCAAUUAUGUUAUAUCGUUCUUGUAUUUAUUGUCUACUUGAACUUGUUGAGCAAACUAGUUGUUCACCCUUGCUUAAAAUAAAACUUUUCAGCUAAAGUCCCCAAAGGUUCUAUGAAGGACAAAGGCAAAGAGAAGGUGACCGAGAAGUGUAAUAUGUGUGUUGUUUAUUAUAUAUAUUGAUAUAAACCUUUUGUAUUAUUAGUCAUGUAUUGUAAACGUUAGUUAGACAUGGGAUAAGUUUUGUAUUAAGGCAAUGUAAUGAAUGAUGUAAUUCAUAAGGAAUGGGUAGAUGUGUGUGAUGUAUCGUGAGCACAAAAUUCAAG